This 279-nucleotide ribosomal RNA is filed under the name uncultured bacterium. Its description in RNAcentral is "partial 16S ribosomal RNA". It matches the Rfam family "Bacterial small subunit ribosomal RNA", at positions 506 to 784 of the family's 1533-position model. The record is from RNAcentral.
UGCCAGCCGCCGCGGUAAUACGGAGGGUGCAAGCGUUGUUCGGAAUCACUGGGCGCAAAGCGUCCGCAGGCGGUUUAUCAGGUCGGGUGUGAAAGCCCGGGGCUCAACCCCGGAACUGCAUUCGAAACCGAUAGACUUGAGUACGGGAGAGGAGGGCGGAAUUCCUGGUGUAGAGGUGAAAUUCGUAGAUAUCAGGAGGAACGCUCGCGGCGAAGGCGGCUCUCUGGCCCGAUACUGACGCUCAUGGACGAAAGCGUGGGGAGCAAACAGGAUUAGAUA